RNAcentral lists this ribosomal RNA (339 nucleotides) under Listeria monocytogenes. Its description in RNAcentral is "bacterial SSU rRNA". It matches the Rfam family "Bacterial small subunit ribosomal RNA", at positions 475 to 813 of the family's 1533-position model. Lineage: Bacteria; Bacillati; Bacillota; Bacilli; Caryophanales; Listeriaceae. The record is from RNAcentral.
GUAUCUAACCAGAAAGCCACGGCUAACUACGUGCCAGCAGCCGCGGUAAUACGUUGGUGGCAAGCGUUGUCCGGAUUUAUUGGGCGUAAAGCGCGCGCAGGCGGUCUUUUAAGUCUGAUGUGAUAGCCCCCGGCUUAACCGGGGAGGGUCAUUGGAAACUGGAAGACUGGAGUGCAGAAGAGGAGGGUGGAAUUCUACGUGUGGCGGUAGAAUGCGUGGAUAUGUGGGGGAUCACCGGUGGAGAAGACGAAUCUCUGGUCUAUAGCUGACGCUGAGGGGCGAAUGCGUGGGGAGGAAACAGGAAUAGAUUCCCGGGUUGUCCACGCCGUAAACGAUGAG